AUUGAACGCUGGCGGCAGGCCUAACACAUGCAAGUCGAGCGCGCGGCGGGCGGGGGAGUAAUGUCCGGGAAAAUGCCUGAUGGGGGGGGAUAACUACUGGAAACGGUAGCUAAUACCGCAUACCCUCAGGUAUGCCCCGAUGGGAUUAGCUAGUGGGUGGGGUAAAGGCUCACCUCGACGACGAUCCCUAGCUGGUCUGAGAGGAUGACCAGCCACACGGGAACUGAGACACGGUCCAGACUCCUACGGGAGGCAGCAGUGGGGAAUAUUGCACAAUGGGCGCAAGCCUGAUGCAGCCAUGCCGCGUGUAUGAAGAAGGCCUUCGGGUUGUAAAGUACUUUCAGCGGGGAGGCGUUACCCGCAGAAGAAGCACCGGCUAACUCCGUGCCAGCAGCCGCGGUAAUUC
This 406-nucleotide ribosomal RNA is filed under the name uncultured bacterium. RNAcentral's name for it is "partial 16S ribosomal RNA". It matches the Rfam family "Bacterial small subunit ribosomal RNA", at positions 29 to 526 of the family's 1533-position model. The record is from RNAcentral.